RNAcentral lists this ribosomal RNA (406 nucleotides) under uncultured bacterium. Its description in RNAcentral is "partial 16S ribosomal RNA". It matches the Rfam family "Bacterial small subunit ribosomal RNA", at positions 30 to 526 of the family's 1533-position model. The record is from RNAcentral.
AUCGAACGCUGGCGGCAGGCCUAACACAUGCAAGUCGAACGAGUGGCGGACGGGUGAGUAAUUUCUGGGAAACUGCCUGAUGGAGGGGGCUAACUACUGGAAACGGUAGCUAAUACCGCACACCAUCAGAUGUGCCCGGGUGGGAUUAGCUAGUUGGUGGGGUAACGGCUCACCAAGGCGACGAUCCCUAGCUGGUCUGAGAGGAUGACCAGCCACCCUGGAACGGAGACACGGUCCAGACUCCUACGGAAGGCAGCAGUGGGGAAUAUUGCACAAUGGGCGCAAGCCUGAUGCAGCCAUGCCGCGUGUAUGAAGAAGGCCUGCGGGUUGUAAAGUACUUUCAGCGGGGAGGCGUUACCCGAAGAAGAAGCACCGGCUAACUCCGUGCCAGCCGCCGCGGUAAUAC